UACGUAGGGUCCAAGCGUUAAUCGGAAUUACUGGGCGUAAAGCGUGCGCAGGCGGUUCGUUAAGUCAGCUGUGAAAGCCCCGGGCUCAACCUGGGAAUUGCGGUUGAAACUGGCGAACUAGAAUCUGGCAGAGGGGGGUGGAAUUCCACGUGUAGCAGUGAAAUGCGUAGAUAUGUGGAGGAACACCGGUGGCGAAGGCGGGUCUCUGGGCCGAUACUGACGCUGAGGAGCGAAAGCGUGGGGAGCAAACAGG
This 253-nucleotide ribosomal RNA is filed under the name uncultured bacterium. RNAcentral's name for it is "partial 16S ribosomal RNA". It matches the Rfam family "Bacterial small subunit ribosomal RNA", at positions 524 to 776 of the family's 1533-position model. The record is from RNAcentral.